GUGAGGAAUAUUGGACAAUGGGCGCAAGCCUGAUCCAGCCAUGCCGCGUGCAGGAAGACGCAUCUAUGGUGUGUAAACUGCUUUUGUACGGGAAGAAACACUCCCUCGUGAGGGAGCUUGACGGUACCGUAAGAAUAAGGAUCGGCUAACUCCGUGCCAGCAGCCGCGGUAAUACGGAGGAUCCAAGCGUUAUCCGGAAUCAUUGGGUUUAAAGGGUCCGUAGGCGGUUUAAUAAGUCAGUGGUGAAAGCCCAUCGCUCAACGAUGGAACGGCCAUUGAUACUGUUAGACUUGAAUUACAAGGAAGUAACUAGAAUAUGUAGUGUAGCGGUGAAAUGCUUAGAUAUUACAUGGAAUACCAAUUGCGAAGGCAGGUUACUACUUGUGGAUUGACGCUGAUGGACGAAAGCGUGGGGAGCGAACAGGAUUAGAAACCCUGGUAGUCC
RNAcentral lists this ribosomal RNA (445 nucleotides) under uncultured bacterium. RNAcentral's name for it is "bacterial SSU rRNA". It matches the Rfam family "Bacterial small subunit ribosomal RNA", at positions 354 to 796 of the family's 1533-position model. The record is from RNAcentral.